GUUAUCAAUAGAGAGUGAUACAUUAUACAGUGACACAUAAAAGUGCGUCAUUUUGUAACGACUAAAAUGGAUUUACAAGGGCAUUUUGAACGUCCAGAAAUUAUCAACAACCCUAUAUACCAACUUUUAUUAAAUUCAGCUGAUGGCAAAAGUGUUUUAAAAUAUUAUCGAGAUAAUGGAUGCUGGACUUCUGCCAGCGUCUGUUAGUAAUUUAAUUUAUAUCAAUUGCAUAAAAAAAAUUAAUUUUUAUAGCAAUGUUAUAGAAAUUGGAAACAUUAUUAUGGUACCACAUAAAGAUGCUCCUAUUUUUUACAAAGUAGAUAAUAUUAUAGUUUGUAGCAAUAUUAAAGUAUGUCUUAUUGUUAAAAAAUUAAUAAGUACAUUCCUCUACGAAAAAACUGAAUGUUAUCGAUUGUACAACGAUCAGUAUACGUGGGAUGUACUAAAUUUGGAUGACCUAUUUAGCUUUAAGAUUACGAAUCUUGUAAGAGCAUCUAAUGGUGCGAAAUUUAUUCUCAAAAAUUGGUUUUAAUUUAAAUAAAGAUAUAUUUAAUAAUUCAUAAAA
Long non-coding RNA from Chelonus insularis, 565 nucleotides. RefSeq lists it as uncharacterized. The transcript has 4 exons. The record is from RefSeq and is a predicted model, not a curated record. NCBI's taxonomy places the organism in Eukaryota, Metazoa, Arthropoda, Insecta, Hymenoptera, Braconidae.